AGUGAACGCUGGCGGUAUGCCUAACACAUGCAAGUCGAACGGCAGCACAGUAAGAGCUUGCUCUUACGGGUGGCGAGUGGCGGACGGGUGAGGAAUACAUCGGAAUCUACUUUUUCGUGGGGGAUAACGUAGGGAAACUUACGCUAAUACCGCAUACGACCUACGGGUGAAAGCAGGGGAUCUUCGGACCUUGCGCGAUUGAAUGAGCCGAUGCCGGAUUAGCUAGUUGGCGUGGUAAAGGCCCACCAAGGCGACGAUCCGUAGCUGGUCUGAGAGGAUGAUCAGCCACACUGGAACUGAGACACGGUCCAGACUCCUACGGGAGGCAGCAGUGGGGAAUAUUGGGCAAUGGGCGAAAGCCUGACCCAGCCACGCCGCGUGGGUGAAGAAGGCCUUCGGGUCGUAAAGCCCUUUUGUUGGGAAAGAAAAGCAGCAGGUUAAUACCCGGCUGUUCUGACGGUACCCAAAGAAUAAGCACCGGCUAACUUCGUG
Molecule: ribosomal RNA, 492 nt
Filed under: uncultured bacterium
Lineage: Bacteria
Description: partial 16S ribosomal RNA
Rfam family: Bacterial small subunit ribosomal RNA
Source: RNAcentral